GUUACUGUGUAUACAGAUACCUUGCCUGUGCUCAGGGUAGAAGUCAAGUAUAAGAGUGAGUGGAGUCUGGCCUUUUUCUUAAGUAUUUCGCUUUUUGUGCUUCUUUCUCUCUAUAAGAUGAUAUGUGUCUAUUUAUUCUUCCCCCUCCGACUUUGUUUUCUGUAAAAACAGCGAAUUCUCGUUCAUACUAUAAGACCCCUCAUCCAUGAGUUCCAUCAGUAUUGAUAAGAAUGGAGAGUUAUGACUCAGAGUUCAUAUUUGUUGGUAUUGAUAUGAUGUUACCAAUUCAUUCAGUAUGGCCAUUGAUAGAGAGCCAAUUCAAAUAAACUAAUGGAACGGAGAGCCAAGCCAAUUCAAAUACACUAAUGGAACGUGGAAUUUGGCCUUUUUGGAUCCAGCAGGAAUCGAACCCUCUAUAUUCUUUUGGACCAAUGUGGAGUUGGUCGCUUUUACCAUUAAGCUAUGGAUCCAAUCACCGCAAGUAAACAUUAGGUUUAGGAUUUGUCACCGCAAGUAAACACUAGGUUUAGGAUUUGAUUGUUGGUGCUUCUCGAGCUUUAUCCGCCAGAGUCAAUCCAGCCCCAAGGGUUGCCUAGCCCCUAAACUAUGGUACUCCUCUCCUUCAUCGAUGUGGAGAUAGAGCCAGAAGUGAGGCUUUGUUCCUUCGCGUAUCCAUUAUCAUUGACAAAGCGACUCUUACAUGCAUGGCUUACUUAAUCAUUCAGUCCUACUGGGGAUGCUAUGGUCACAGCAUUUAUAAGGGAAAAGAUGAUAUAGAGAUGGAUUGGAGAAGAGGAACGAACCACUUGACAAUUCAGAUGUUACAUGUUUUGAAUACAAAGGAAAUAGUAAGGAAGAAGAGAAGAAAAGAGAAAGAAGAUAGAUAAGGUAGGGGCCAAGGAACGGGAUCAGACUUAAUACAGUAAAUCCAAGACUUCAACUAGUGCUACCGAGGAUGGAGCUACUAACAACCAGACUUCACUCACUACCAACAAGAAUCAAACCUAGGGCUGCUAGGACUGAUGCUGUGUAGGUACAGGCUUAAACGAAGGAGUCACAGAAUGGCACUGAUGAGUCUAAGGCUGAAACAAGUACUACUCAGAAUGACCCUAAAGCGGAGGUAGGUACGAGAUACUUUAGGUUACUCGUCCUAGGAACACCAGUAAUAAGAAUUGAGACCUCUCUUGGCAACCACUAUAAUGAAUAGAAGUCAGCAGUAAUAGAAUCCGCAGUGCCCCAGGAAUGGAAGUAUUGAUUGGCAAGAAGUAGAUGAGAAAGCAGCUUGCUUAAUUCUGUAUUAGUUGACAGAAGAAUCAGUUCGGGUUAAGUACCCUGUAGCCUGUAUAGGAGAAGAAUCAACGCGUUAGCCCAAUGUUAAUAGAAAUAACAUAAGAAUACAAAACCCGUCUCUCGAGAUCAGAAUCAGUGUCAAGUGAGUCAGCAGUGCCAAAGUCCGCCAAGUCGAGUUUCAUUCCUGGAGUGUUAGUAACAUACGAAAAAGGGAAGGUGCUUCAAGCAUCUUUACUAACUCAUAGGUUCCUUGUGAGCGAGAACUUACAAUAAGGGCCUUAUCCUUACUAAAUUCAUUAUUGAUCUUUUUAUAGGAGAACGGAUUCCUAGUAUAUGCUUGCCAGGUUGUGCAAAGAAUGUUUCAAUGUUGUUUCCUUACUUCUAUCUAUACUGGGCUAGGUGCUCAAGAGACUCUAUUGAAUUCAUAAACUUUCCCCCACUCCACAGAGUCUGGGCCGGAUCCUGUUUCUUCUUCUCCACUUGAAGAAUGACUUGCUACUCUGCAAAUGGCAAAUGCGCUCGACCAUUAUCGGUAAAGGAAGCAGUAAACAAGAGAAGGAAGGGGCAAUUCGAGUCGCCAACACAAAAGCACCAAUAUCUACUACAUUACCAUCACUAGAAUUCUUUUCAACAAGCAAGGAGUAAGCAGACCAAGCAGGUGCCUACGGAACAAGCAAACUUGCAAGAAAGGGCAAUGAAAGCAAGGCCAAUAUUGAGUUAAGAAAGGGAAGAAGGUUACUGACGCGCCACGGGUAGCACUUUAGCGACACCCCGUUCACUUUAGCGUCAGCGAACAAAGGACAAAGAAAGAUCUUCCGAACACAAAACAAAGAAUUCCACCUUUUAUGAUAACUGCCUCGGAUCCUUCUCUUGGAGACUUAACUCGAACAGAAAUAGACUUAAUGGCGAAAGUGUCCUUGCCAGGCGCAAGUCAGGUUUGCCGGCCUCACUUCUUGUAUAGGUCGGGUGGGAAUUCCACUCCAAAGUUCAUGGCGGCAGCUUCCCUGUCCCUUGUUUCAUCUGUGUUUGUCGUCUUGGCCCAGUUGUGUUCUAGGCCUUGGCCCCGUCUUUUUGAAUAGCAAAUAUAGACUUUAGUAAGGUGCUGAAAGCCUUGAAGUUUCAUCUUCAAUUAUAGAACUGACCGAAUUAAUAGUAAAGGGCUGGCAACUCACUUCCCGAACUUACCCGCCUGUCCUAGGUAUAGCAACAGUCUCAAAUCCUCCUGCCGAUUCUAUUUCUACUUCUUCUACUUCUUCUAGAGUUGACUUUCCCUUCCAAGAUUCUUGUAUACCCGCCUUUAAUGCUUUCUUCUUAGGGGUUUGUCCUCUACUGCCUCUUUUGCAUUCCCAUCCUAUAGUUUCACUCCACCACUCCACAAUCGAACUCUUCUGCAGCUUACUUGCAUCAUGUAAGGAAGUGUGCUCUUAUUCUUCUACUCAUAGGUACCCGACCCAUCGCAUCAUCUAACAAUGAAAAGAGCAACUUGGAAUUCAAUCAAAGCUAACAGGAAAUCGACAACCACCAGAAAGAGUCAAACAAAAAGAAAUAGGACUUUCACUCCCCGGGGGCCAAGUAACGGAUAGACAAGAGCUAAGCAAGAAGGAGGUAGUCAAUAGGCCCAGCUACAACCGAACAGGAUCGGUAUUCCACUCUCACAGGACUAGCUACUCUCAACUACUGGCAAAGAAUCCAACUCGCCAAGCUACUAGACAAGUAACGGGCAGGCAGUUGACCAAAACGAGAUUUAUGCUUACUAUUGUGGUAAAUUCCCUAUUCUUUGUUUUACUCUUGUUAGCGGAAGUAUAAGAUUUGGAUGUCAGUGCGCUAGACUCAAAGCAAUAGCAUUCUUCCCUGUACGAUUAUUAUCAGACUUAGAUGUAUUAUCAGAUUGUGUAGUAGAUGUUUUGAGUCUUGGAAGGGGUAGCUCAAGUCUGUUCUCCUGCUCACAAUGCCUUAGAGCUAUGCCCGAUAUCCUGUAUUGCUAGGUUGAUUCUCUCCGAUCCGGUGCCUACUCUUUGACUUACCUGUUUGAUCCUCUGUUUCCACUUCGAUCCUAUACUUAGUUAGUUCAAAACCAUACUGGCGAGGUUGGUUCCCCGUCUAUAGCAUCAAUACGAUAAGUGGUGGGUUUAUUCUUACUAGUAGUCGUUCAAGUCUAAAAGCAGUGGGCUAAGCCUGUGAUUUACCUAUUUAAUUCAGAGAAGCAGUAGCUCCCAAUUCUUUUAGUUAUUAGUUUCAGAAUCAAAGACAGAGGUAGGGUAGGCUCAUAUACAGGGAUGGCAGACUCCCUUUGUGCGGGUGGGCAGACUGAACAGUGAAAUAAGUAAUUGUAUUUUGGAGUGUGAUUAACAAUAAGAGCACAUAGGAUCCACCAGACAAGACCUAAUCCCGAAACUGGAAGAAUCCAAAAAGCCAAGACAAAGAUAGCCAAGCAGACAAGCAACGUUGUAAAAGUGCUGUGAACUUGUAUAUAAGGGGGUUUUCAUGGCGGUAGUGAGCGGAAGAGUUGGUUCAGAGCCGAGCCCUAGGUUGCUGUUACCGUAAUUCUAUCAUACAUAGUUAAAUGAUUACUUUGCGUUAGCAGGAGCCCAAAAGAAGGAUAGGCAUAACUGCAUUGCUGACUUAUGGCAUAUGAUAUAUAUGAGUAAAGACACCGUUGCCUCCGCUCCGUUACUCGCUUAACUACUCCUAGCGCACAAGUGAAAACUGCUCACGUAAGCGCUUCUCUUACCAGAUCUGAUCCCAUUCUUUCCCGGAGUCGAAUGAGAGACUGGAACGCGGGCGAGCUGAGCUCUCUGGCUCUUUAUAGAUGUGCCUGGCAUGGUUCAAAGUCUACAUAGUGAUCCCUGAAGCUAGAAAUAGGGAAUCCUGAUUGUUUUCUGUGUUCCCGCGUUUAGAAGCUGAUUGGAUCUGAUCCUGUAUCUACUUGAAGGAAGCAUAGGGGCUCUACCUUCCCAAGUAGUAGAGUUGCAAGAGGCUAGAGAGCUAUGAGAUCGAUUUGCUUCUGAUAGAUGAUUCCAAAGAGUAAGGGAGAGUUUAGCAUGCUUGCCUUUCGACUAAAGCACUAGAAGAAAAGGACAUGGGACAAGAAGAAGCCCUCUUCUCUUUUCAAGCCGCCCUCUUCCUUUUGAAAGUUGAUCCCCCUCAGACGUUAUGCUUUCAAGCGAAAGGCUGUCUUGUGGACCUUACCUCCAGCAAUCUUGUCUUUCCCGCUGCAGGUGACCCUCGAGGAGAUAGGACAGCAAGAGAGAAGCUAGCCCUACUUGAGAUUGGUUUACGAACUAUCCCUUCAGGCCUUCUUAACACUGAUCUUACCCUACCGCGACUAGAUCCAAUGGAUUACGUGGUAAAGAGCUCAAAACAAGGGAUUUGGCCGAUCCAUAGUUCCUCACUACCUAUGAAUGAGUCUCUUUGCUAAUUAACUAUCCACUACAUGCAAUUGACUCACCUACAUUUUCUGCUUUCACCCUUGAUUUAGUACACUCAGACUCAGGGAAAGUGCUUACAUAAACUAUCAUUCCUAUGGAGCUAACCGAUGGGUUAGAGCGGAACCGCCAUUCUCCAAAGUGUGGAAGUGAGCCAGGACAAUAAGACAAUAGGUCUAAUGGGCCAAGCCAGCUAUCAGGCAUUGAGUGGGAAUCAAUCCAGAAAGAGAGAGAUAAGGUCGAGUGCAAAGAGAAUAAGGUCUAGUGAAAAGAGAUAAGGUGGUCUAGUGCUCUCAAAACUACGUACUAUUUUCUUUGGAAUGGUAAGGGGAGUCGUUAGAUGCGGAAUACAAACAACAUGGUAAGAUUCAUCCUCUGAGUACCUGCUAAUGGAACCAUUGUCAAAUAUGUGUGCCCUUUGAAUUGUAGUUGCCUUGGAUGUCAAUCUAUAGGCAUGCUUUAAUGUCGAGACUUCCACUCCAUCUCGAAUCCCGCCAAAGUCCCACCACUAGUAGGGAAUGAGGGAUAGAGGCCGAGUACCACUAGAGGAUCAAAGAGAAAAAAGGGAUUCCUUCGAGGCUAGAGAGUGGGGGAUGACGGGAAGCCAACUUAUAAUCUAAGCGAUGCCUGAGCGCGAGGAGCGGCCUUUCAAAGAGGAGUCGUCGGGAAGAGCAAACAACUUCAUCUUCCAACUAUCUGGUGGCGCUUGAGCAUUUGUCUAACCAUGGGGUUAGGAGAUUGUCUCUGAGUUGAGAAUGAAGGACACGACUAGGCUAUAAAAGGAAGUGGCAGAGGUCAUAACCUUUGUGUUUUUUGCCCUUUCUCUUCAACUAGCCAAGGAUCUGCGCUCGUUGUUUUCAGACAAUAUGGUCAACAGGGUCUUUCUUUUGACAUUUAGUGAUUGUAGUUUCAAUCUUCCUUAGUUUGUUUCUUGGAGAUAUUCUUGUAUUUGACAUUUGAUUCAAUGCAUAGAGCCUUCAUUUCAAUGCCUUGUUGGCUUCCCGGGUGCUGGAAUUGGGUUCAUUGGUGGGAGAGAGAAUAUUGCUCGGCUUUCUGAACUAAAUUGACCGAGGAGGACGCAGAGGCAAGUAAGGAGAAUCAGAGGCGGAAUAAUAAUAUCAGUUAGUGCUCUCCGACUCAAGUAGUAGUAGCAGUCUUUUGAUUUGUGUUUGGAUUCCCUGCAGUACCAGUUCAAUCCCAAGUUUCAAGUUCUAUUCUAAUAGUCAGUGUGGUUGAGGAGCGAGCGGGUAGGUAGUCAAUCCUUCUCAGCAGUGGUUUUCUUCUUCUAGUGUUUAGUAUUUCCUUGUGGUAUAUGCGGCUAACGAGUGGAAGUUGUUGCUAGUUAGGAGUUGAUUUCCCUACCCAUUCUUAUACUGGUGUUGAUUCCUCUCCCCUAUGCCUAACAGCCUCUUUUCUAUAUGUAACAGCCUCUUUCUAAUGACUAUGUCUUAAAGAUAUGUGAUUUCAAGUGAGGAUCUUUCUUGCCUCUUUCCUGCCAGUAGUUCUUCCCCUAAUUGUCAUUUCAUUUCCCCUUCUCUUUUAGGAUAGCAUUCCGUAUUGAUUGUCACUUCUUUAGAAAUCCGUCUUCUUCCAUUACUACAUUCCUCCCAAAAGUCAAUUCUAAUCAUAAAAGGCAAGGUGUUUGGGAAGUGUAUCAAGCUCUAUCCUGCUGUCUUUAUAUGGAUUUCUCUAUCAUCAAUCAUUACGGAGAAAGAGAGUUGGAUCUCGAGAUUCCAAUCUCGUGGUGCCCUCUUGAAUGAACCAACCUGUACUCUUUAGUUUCCGCUAAUGAAGCUGCAUCAAAUUGAGUGGGCAGAAGAUCAGCUAGCUGUCUCAUACUCGGACUAUAGAUCUUUUAUGUGCUGGGUUGACGGCAAAGACAUCCAAAUCUAUAGGAUGAAGCUGACACGCGAGCAAGCUAAUAUGAAGAAGAUAAGAUCUUGCCAUGCCAUCUUCUGUGAUUAAAGUAAAGCCCUAUUCUACCCAUGUGUAGGGCGGAGCAAGGACGGACAGAGGCCUAAGGGUUCGUUUUUCAUAACUUAGUUAUAACUAUGGUCGAAAAGCAGGUAUGAUGUCUCCCACUCGACACCAAUAUGUGACAGAAAAGAAGCACGAAAGCCAGUCCGUCGCCAAGUCUUUAAGCUUCUGGUAUUGAUAUUGAUUUUGAAUAGAAUAGACAGAUUCUUGCCCUAAGGUUAGGCUUCAUGCCCGAAAAAGGAAAGGAAGGGUAUUUUCGGAGCGUACCAAAGGUCAGUCCCAACGCUAAUUCACUACAAUAGAAAAUCGAACUAAGAGAUAGGUUAGUUAUACGACCGAUAGGGAGAGGAACGAAGGACUUCUGAGUUUAGGAUAGAAGAAGAACAAGAGAAAGAAAGGUGCAGAGUGAAGGUACGGCAAAAGAUAGAAAAACGAAACAGUAUUGUAUUAUUGAGCACAGGAAAGAAUUAGAAGACUUCGAUUCGGUGGAAACCAAAACGGUUGAGUCAGUGCUGUGCUUUGCCCUUUAGCAAAUGCUUCUCCAAAUCACUAUAGGACCAGACGUCCGAGCUAUUCAAAGAAUGGACUUUUCAGUAAUGGAAUAAGGUUAACAAGGGAUUUCUCUUUCUCCAGAGAGUCAACCUUAGCUCAAGCAAGGAAGACAUUGGAUGUAGAUUAAUGCCUGUUACUGAAUGAUCCCCAGGGAGUGACUUCCUCAUUAGCCAGAAUAGCCAAUCCAUCCUUAUUUGCUUAGUUAUAGAACUCCUCCCGCUCUUCAAGGAUCGAGGUUCCCAGCUGGUUAUAAGAUUAUAAGCCGAUUGUCAUUCGACAACUCCCCCUUUUCAGUCGAAACAACCCCUCUCCCUAUCGGUCUUCACUCCUAUAGGUUUCCUCCUCUCCUUCCUUUAGUAUAGUAUUGUAAUAGCGGACUUUCCCGUUGGUCUUCCUUCGGUCGCCUCCUAUCUCGAACUUUCAAUCUUACGCUUCAAUCUGACGUUGGUAGAGCCAGUCUGUUGUAUAGCAUUUACUAGCUAGCCUUCCUCUGCGGAAGAGAAGAGAACAAUCCACCGAUUCGAUUACCUUUUGCCGAGCUACAACUCAUUCCUAUCCGUUAGGAGAGCUAGCACUCGCACUUCCUUGAGUAAUGUACGUACUUAUUUAUUGUCGAGCGAGGAUAGGUCUGUGAGAAUAGAGUUCGUUUUAGCCUUGUUAGAUUAGUCCAGUGACCGAAAGGAAAUGCCCGGACCCUGUGAACUCUUACUGUUCGUUAUCUAGUCGAAACUAGGGCAAGACAAGAGAUCGUAUUCGCUAAAUCUGUUAUGAUAUUAGGAAUAUAACCCCAGCAUUCGAGAAUCAUCCUCUGUAUCUGGCGCACAAUCUAAAGCUUUGUCUCAUCCCUCUUCGCGAGCAUACAAUAAGCAAAGAAAAGUGGAUUUGUUUGGAUCUGAUCUAUACUAAUGUUACUACUAAAUUCUGUAUUGAUCCUUAUAUAGGAUGACAGAUAACGGAUUCAACAAAAGAAUAGAUUGAGUCAGCUACCCCAGAGAAAGUCAAGGAAUGGAAUAUGAAAUGCACUGAAGCGCGGGAGUAACUGAAGGCGUUGUUAAGUGAGUUGAAGUUAACGAGUUAUUACUCUAUCUGCUGACUAACCUUUGACUGCUGACUAUAAUGCUCCUUACUCUAAUCAAACAAGGUGGUUUCAUUGAAUACGAGUUCCAGUUCUUUACCGAACAAGCCUUAUUGCCUUUACUUCUUCCGCGCGGUAUCUGAUAGUUGUAGUCUCUUUUGGUGCUUGUGCUUGAGAAGACCAGAAUCUCCGUUCUUUGAACAGCAUUGCUUACUUGACUCCCGACUCUGAGGCUUCAGCACCCCUUACAAAGUCAUCUCACACUGAACGAGCGUAGGUAGUAUAAUCCAGUUUGUUAGAGAGUUCCGAGCGCACCUUACCUUUCGAAAUCCAUAGAUUAUUACCCUUGUACCCUUGCUUUAAGAGAAUCAUAGAGGAACCCAAUCGCUAUUGCUUGUUCUGUUAUUUGUUUCAAACUAGUAGAACUAUACUUAAGUACACUGCCGAAGUACACCGCGCUUAUUCCUUUAAUUGGAAUCCAUCGAAUAGGAGUCAAUCGUGGUUCGGCUUUAAGGUAAAGGCAAGGGAAGUCCACAGCAGAGCCAGAGGAUAAAGGAUUCCAAAGACAGGGUCAAGAUGUUAGGCGAAAAUGUCAUAGAACAGUCAAUAGAGAUCCUCAAUGAGAAAUGACCUAUGUUGCCCCCUGAAAACGGAACUUAUGGAUAGCAUUCCAGAGUCUAAAAUCCUAGUUGGAACCCCCAGUAUAGAAAGAUUCUUAUGCUUUUGUUUAAGGCUCUAACUCCUUGUGUAUCAUCUCUUUGUGUGCCAAUGUUGUAAGGAAAGGAAGCUGAAUCGAUUAAUAGUGAAAUUGAGGAAUGAAAUAUAGCGUGCAUUGGUGAGUAUAGAAAGAAGGAACCCUAACCUCACUGAACAAGCAAUCAGAUCCUUCCGGAGCUUUAUUUGGAAAUAAGCUGCUAACUACGCUUUUCCUUUUGGGCGUGCCGGGCAAGAAUUUGGAUAGUUACUACAGUCAGGUUACCCUAUUACAUAAGAGGUGCAUUAAUACUCUUUCUUUACAGUUGUACUAACGUGAGUUCGCCCGCGAAAGCCUUAGUUCUCUUAAAGCUGCAAGUCAGCAGUAAACAUAACAACCUUAGAAUACUGUUGCGCUUACGGGAGCUCGAUAAUCAAUUCCGUAUGGACGGGGACGGACUGAAGAUCCACUGUCUUGACUGCGAUAACGGAGUUCUCUUUGGAAUGUUUGACUGUAGCAUUAGGAGUUAGAGCAAGCGUUAGUGAGUUGUGCGCUAGUUCAUAAAUCAAUUCAGUAAAGUAACAGAACAAGAAGUUGUUAUAAGUAAAUAAGUAAUGCUCUGUUUUAUUAAUCAAUUAUAGAAUGUGAUACUUAUAUCAAUGAAAGGUAGCUUAAAACUCGCCCUACUGCCUUGUUACUGCAGGAGAAGUCUCGUAUCCAAGUGGAACCGUUGAAAGAAAUGGUGCCUCCGCCUUCGUAUAGGCAGCCUAUACUCUAAUCUUUGCGCUAUUCCUAGGCGCUACUCUCUUCCAUUCUGUAGUUGGGGGUGCGACACUGAACUCCAAUCUCCAGUUUUCAUUUCACUUCUAUGUAGUUGGGGGUGCGACACUGAACUCCAAUCUCCAGUUUUCAUUUCACUUCACGUCACGGCAAUACCUCUGCUUGACCGCAAGACCUCUGCUUCUAUAUAUAUAGGAUUCGAGUCAAGCACCCGAAGACCAACAAUCGAACUACAGAGGGCGGUGGACUAACUCUCGAACUAAAGAACAUAAGGGACAACUAAUAGAUUCAAGUAAGGAAAGUCAGCCCGAGAUCAUAGUCGAAGGAUGAGUAGCAUUGGCGCAAUUCCUGUUAUCUGUGAUUUCCGCCCUGUUUGCGAGAGUAGAAGAAUCCGAUGUGAAAUACUGUUUGAAAGGGCAUCUUUGAAAUCCAGUAGCUAAAGAAUUAGAGUAAGGAGAGAAAGAUGUAGAUCCAGGAAUGACAGGCGACUACUAAAUAGGUUCAAUACGUAUUUUGUGUGUCAGCGUUAAAGCAUGAAAGCAAAGCGAGUUAGGUUGAGAAGCAGUAGGGGCAGCCCCAUGGAUAGGACAGUAAGAAUAAGAUAGAGGCGAGGCAGGCUUGUUAGCAAUAGCUCGAGUCUUAUCGUUAGUGAUUUCAUCCUUUUUUGAUCAGUGGAAUUAUUAUACCUAUUGGUCUUAAAGCGAUCGUACGCAUAGGUUCCAUUCUGGCUAUUCAUAGUUCCAAUUAUUAGAAGCCAUAGUUGGAGAACGAGAGACAGGAAAGGUAGACUUAACUAAAGGAAAGACUGCUUAGGUGCCCAGGAGCUCAAGUAUUGUUAGCGGAGGAAUAAGAUUGAAACCAAAGAGAGGUGUUUUGAAAGCUAAGAUCCGGAUCCGGAGUUGUAGAAUCAAAGCAAGGUGCUGAAAGCCUUAUUGAGGCAUGAGGGAAUACUAAAACAAGGGAGUUGGAAUGCAGCUAACGUUCUAUUACUGAGUUCAAUUCAGUAUUGUUAUACAUGUACGAUUUUCUUACCUUGUUGGGCGCUACCUUAUUAGUAGUACAGUUAGUAAUCUAAGACUUUCAGCAAGGAGUCUGUCUAAGUUUGAAUAAGGCCUGCCAGGAACAAACCCAAGAGUGAGAGAAGAGAGUUUCCAUUUUCAAGGAAGACUUAAGGCCAAGAGCGGAAUAAGUAGUAGACUUAGCUAAAGGAAAGGAAGACUGACUAUCAAACAUAGGAGUGGGUUGGUUCCACAGGGGUAAAGUUUGAGAGUUAGGGACGGUAGGCUGAGAAGCCGAGUAGUCAGAAUGAGAUUUAGGAGCGGGGGAAUCUGAUCGAGUAAGGACAGGUUAAUAGGUAGGAAAGCUAGGUUCCAGGUAGUGGGGAAGGUCUCAUUUCUUUGUUUUAGCUUAUAGGGAAGUAGUCCACUCCGAUAUAUACUCCCGUAGUUAAAGGCGGAUACCCACCUGUUACAUUCGCGUAGUGGGGAGCAUACCCUUUAGUCAAAUUCGGAUUAGCUGUUGUUGCACUCCUCGGUUCCAGUCUUGUACUUACUAGUUUCAUAGAAAAAAGUCCGGGUAAUAAGAAUGGUAGUCAGUAAGAGUAGACUAGGAUAAAGGAGAGUCAGAGGGUGGUUAAGCCCAAACCUGCAGAGUUAAGGCCUGUAAUGGAAGAAUCGAAGGGUAAAGUUCUAAUUAGAUGUAAGGAGCUGUAGGCCUAUGCUUGGGAUUUGGUUCUUCUACUAAUCAAAUCCAUUAUUCAAAUUCAUGUCCUUCAUUCUAUUACUGUUGAGCUUGAUUCUAUCCUAGCUUAGUGGGGUUCCCUAACGAUUAGAAGAUGAAAACUAGCAAGCUGGGCUUUAAGACAAGAGCGGUUGUUUGUUAGUAGGGAGUGGAGUGCCGGUUUCAGAGUUCAAGCAAGGGGCUGCAUAUUCUUAUAUAUAUAUAGGGGAUCAUAUGACUAAACCCAUAGAAUUGGGCUUAAAGGACGGAGUCAGGGAAUUAGACUUAUAUCGGUAUGAGUCAAUAGGCGGUAAUCGAGAAUAGAAGGUCGGGUAGGCAAGCUUGGUCAUCUAUGCAAGUAGUUCGUUUUGGAGUUAAGAGCGGCAGUGCUAUACCCAGGGCAGUGAAUAUUCUUAUUGUUAGGUUAAUUAUAGGUGCAGUUAAUAUUCUUAUUGUUAGGUUAAUUAUAGGUACUAUUGCUUUCUUUAUCCCCAGUUCGAUUAUUGGUAGCACUAGUGGAAUUGCCGGUUUUGAGUGGAAUUGCUAGUUAGUAGUUAAAGUCUAAUCAGUAGUAGGAAAGGAAACCAACCAAGAAAACAUGGGAAUGGAGUUUACCGAGCACAAGGUAUAGAGUGAAGUAAAUACACAAGUUCCUUUUCUGUGGAAUCUGACUUCUGACUUGCACCGCGUUUGUUGUAGUGACUUGGCGGUAGAGGAGCAAUCAAGAGUUAAGAAAAGGUAGAUGAGCCUCCACCACUAAAGCACCGAACCUUUCUCUUAGAUACCAACCCAGUACGUGCUCUCAAGCAGGAAAGUAGGAAUUGGACUAUCAAACCAUAAUGAAACUAAGUCAGCAAUCGGGUCUGUUCCUGUUGCCUUUGUCUAUAAGUCUACGAAUUGCCAGGCCAGUGCUUUACCUCGCAUCAAAGAAAUCAACCAAAAAGGAGGAAUUCAGAACUAUCUACUUCUCAGGUCUUCUACUAAUAAUCAUAAGGGAAAGAAAGAAUACAACUGGUAAGUCAAAGUCUAUGAAUGGGGUUACAGUCUAGCAGAACUACAUUUCCAUUUCUUAUCGAGGUUGCUUGUCGGCUUGGCCCAGUAUAGAGAGCUUUGGUGCUAGUGUAUAGAUAGGUUUGGUGCGAGGCUUUGAAACGGUAAGUGAAUCCCCAGUUCCUGUUCUGGUUCUUGUGGAAUACCUAUAGUAGUAGUAGUCCUGUUCGAGUAAAGUUUUAGUCUGAAUCAAUCAGUGAACUUCCAAAGACCAAACGAUUUCAUCCCAAACUAUCUCUUUAUGGCUGAACCUUCCGAGUGUCGAUAUUUUGAGACUCAUUGUUUCAUAGCCUCUUGGUCAAGCGAAGCCAUACUAGCCACUUUUGGUAGACUGGAAGGCCUGUGCCUUGAAGUCGUCUAGUGUGAGGUACGUUCUUUAUUUAUAAAGGAGAAAGAGAGGUCGCUCGGAAGCAUUCAGUUAGUACGAAUAUGUAUAUUGCAAUUCCGUUAGUACGAAUAUGUCUAUUGCAAGAUGAAGUAACGGAUGCUGGUUUACUGUAAGUUGGUCUCGCGAUGAGUUCAGAGAGUUCUAAGCUGUCUGUUCACUACGCUUUCUUUCAAGCAAUGCUCGGUUGCCUUAUCUCACAAAGGUCUGAUGCCGAAAAUAGGGUGAACGAACCAAUGGCGGUUUCACUGACCCGAUCUGGGCUACCCCGCAUUAUUCCAGUUCGUAGAGACAUUGUCGAUCCUGCCGGGAUGAGAGUGCAGACUAAAGAGUCCGUCUUUACUUGUAAUGGUUUGGACUCCGUCGGGUGAUUGCACUGGGUGUCAAAAGCAACGUUUGAAUCCAUAACUAACCCGGUGUCUUAUAUUGAAAAGGUCCUGGAGGUGAUCUCAUUGAAGUUUUAUCUGCCGUAAGUCUCUUCCUUGGAUCUCGACCAACAAAAGGGUAUGGUAUGGGAACCCACAUUGAAAGCCACUGCUCAUGACGACCGAAUGUGGGUUUAGCACGAAAUUGGAAGAUUUACCUAAGAUCUUGACUAGUAACAAGUAUGAGCAGCCUUCGCAGAAUUUGAUUCAUUUUCUCCAAGAGGAUAUCCUGUCUUCUCUCCGGGGGUUUGUAAAGAACACUUUGGAUCACCGGUAUACCACACAGGCUUUUAAUGAAGACCUAGGAGACUUACUAUACUCUGCCUCUGUUCUCGUGAGCUAGAUAAGGCUAGGUUUGAAUAGAUCAGUUCGGUCUCCGCUCUGAGACCGCCGAGUAGUAGUAGGUAAGUCGCAGCUAUCUCCGACCGAGCUAAAAGAAAGUAGUGGUUUUUCGGGAUCCGCCUUCUCUUCUUCCCCAGGUUCUAAGAGAAAAGAUAUAUUCCAAAAGGGUAGUCUACGAAUUGUUGGUCCUGACCAAUGGCGGCCGUGCUUUCCAACUAAAUCCCCUGGGAAUCUGUCCCCGAGCGUGCUGGCUUUCCUUUACAUAUUAAAUACAUUUCUCAAUUUAUGUUGAGUGAAAAUGCAUUAUGUGAAGAGGGAAGCGACUCAUUUAGCUUACCGUCAGGUUCACUUGGGUUGGUUUAGGCUGCUGUCUUGUAGUCAGUUGAUGGGAGGUCUUCCAUUCCAGUCCAGAAGAUAUUGGAAUUGCACUCUUUUCUUUCCCCCACUUAUAAUCUCUCUGUGGGACUUGUUCCCUCUUCCACUCAGCGCUUUAUAGAUAGGCAUUUGAUUGAGAAUAGAUAGGCAUUUGAUGGAGAAUGCUACCUUAUCUUUGAAAAAGUAGCCGAGCCGAAGGCAAAUAGAAUUGGAGUACCACGGAGAAAAGCUAGCUGGAUAAACAAGACAGGGAUCGCCCGCUCGGCAAUGCUACCUUGGGGAGGAGACAAAACACUUGAAUAUAUAAACGAAUAUUCUACAGCUUUUGAGAUAUAUGAACAAUCUGACUAUGGAAGAGUUUGUGUCUGACUCAUAGCUCUAAGAUUACUAGCAUGAAUAAGCCUGCUUCAACACCACCUAGACUCUUCCAAAUAGAGAGACACCGACCUUAAAAGAACCUGGCAUUGGAUUAACUCACUCCUAAGCUCCCUAGACACUGCAAAGAAGACAUAAUUCGAACUUCCUGGUAAGGGCUGGGCGGAACGAGAAAGGAGUUUGCUAAUAGAAAGAGUUUGGGAAUGCCCCGCGUAGUUAACAAACAUCGAGUUGGGAGUCGGGGCAGCAUGUAUACGAGACUAUUGAAGUUCCGUUUGGAAUCAUUGUGUUCUUCAUAUUCCAAAAUGGGAGAAUAGCCAAGGCCUUUUUCAGCGAUUCGACGCGCCCCCCCUAAGCUAGACGAUUCACCUACCUGACCUCAGAGAGAAUGGAAUGAGUCGCCCUAGCCCUAAUCUGACUAAGAGGUUCAAUUGCUCUAUAGAAAGCCAUCCACUACUGAAUAGCCCUUAUAUAGAUUUAUCAGCCAGGUCAACUGACGCCAUCACUACACUACACUACGGUUUAUUUCGCUGUGAGAAACAAAGAAAAUGUCUGUGCAUUGCUGCUGCCAUCCAAGUUCAUUUAAGCCUUCCUUCCAUCCCUAGUUUCCCUGCUUGAGACUGUUUUUGAUUAGCCCGCCCUGGUUUGAGCCAUGGUCUACCCAGCUGUGCUUCAUAUCCUCCUUGCUCUUUGUCUAAGAUUGGACUACAGGUACCAAACGAUUGGACUGAGGGCAAUCAAAUCAGUGCAUCCUUUGUGGUUGUUUGAGAUUUGGGCUCGUAGGUUGUACGCCAGCCAUACGUAGCUUGAACUGUAAUGGCCACAAUGCGACGCUAUUGCCGAUCCCCAAGACAAGACGCCUUUGAUUGAAUGUGAACACCUGAUCCACCGUAUGCACUUCCUACAUUCACUCCCGGAGAGGAAACUAUUCACCUUAUAAAGAGCCACUAUACGAUCGGACCAGACAGGUGCAGGUAGCCGCCCGUAAUUGUCCAAUAUUGACAGCAGCUAUAGUCGCCGUGUCUUUCGUUUCGCGUAGCUCGGAUUCGUGUGGUGAGAUGAGAUCAACACCUAAUGGGCCACUUUUUCUUAGGCAUAUAAGAGAGAUCAAUAAGUUCAUUAGAGAUCAAUAAGUUCAUUAGAUUUGGGAAUCUUAUUCAGUACCGCGCUUUAGGCAGCUACACUCAGGGCACCGGGCAGCAGCGCUAGUAUAGGGAGUUACUCCACGGGCCACAAUCUGAAUCCUCCACAGGAUUUUGUUGCACUUACUUUUCGAAAGAAAGAUCACAGCCUACUGGGGCAUAAACUUGGAGCUGGAAUUAGCGACGGCUUUUGCUUUAGAAUUCGCUAGAGAACGAUGGCCAUGGAUGAAAGAAACAAACAAAACGGAAAGGCUAUUCGGUUGGAGUUGGUGUUCAGCAUGGAGGUACCGCUUCACUAGGGCUCUGCGCCCGUUCCUACUGUUCUUGACCCAAUGCCAGGUGAUUAGCUAACCUUGCCCCUUCCUUAGAAGGUAAGGGAGGUAUGGUUGGGAGGGACAGAGAGAUCAGAAACCAAAGGAAAGGGAAUAGACUAUCAAACUGUAGAUUGGAUAAAGCAUAAGCUCUGGAAGCGGAUACGCCGAUAGAGGAAGGCUAGCACACAUCAUUUAUCUAAGAAGAAGUUAUUUGUCAUGGGAAAAACGCUUUUUUCGUUGAUCUCUUACUGGCACUCGAAGCACUUGCCUUUUAGCCGUCCACUCAAAGAGGAAAAAGAUGACCGACCAACUGCUGCUUAGCUUAUCACUCUUGAGACUGGCGUGGCGCUGCUGGAUGCUUCUGAUCAAUAGGAAGAGGAGGACUGAUGAGCUGCUAUUUGAGUCGAUCAUUUCCAAGAGAUAUCACAUUCCAGUUUGAGCUUUUAUGUAGUUGAAAUGCCUUACAAUCCUAAGUGUUACGCUUAAGGUAAGAAAUGUUAUUGGUGGAUGCAGGGCUUGGGACCCCCGGAAUGGAAUUAGUAUGCAAGAUUAGCUUACUGGAGUGCCAAUCAAACACCAGUUUUUUUAGAAUAAGGUGGCUGGCCGGUGAAUCACUGAUCAAAGAGCUAGGCGAAGAAGCAUAUCGCUUUGAACGGACACCCGACUCUCUCUUAAACCUUUGAGCAUAUCUUUUACUUGGAGAUUCCCGGUCUUCUGUCUUAGCCCUGACCAUGUUCUGAGAGACUCUUUCUACUUUGUCGCACCCAGCAUCUUAGCUAUGUUCCGAAUGUCUGGUCAUUUAGAAUCCAACUCAUAGAUUCGUUUGCUUCCAACAAGAUCUGAUUGAUCACAACUAACGGGUAGUACGAGACUCUUCUAGCAGAGCGCUUCCUGAUUCAGUUGCUUGAUUCACUGGGCGCACAAGAACGCUUUGCCCCUAUUGAUUGUCCAAACCUCCCCUCACUGCUGCCUAUUCUGUAACAAGAGAGAGCAUUCGAUGCAUUUUCCUUAUUCUAUAGAAUCUAUUAUUUCAUGAGUUUCUUCUAUAUAAUCUAUUAUGUAAUGAGUUUGAGAAUCUAUUAUGUAAUGAGUUUGCUUCAAGAGUCUAUUGAAGGUUAAGGUUAGCCCUCUGACUCGGCUAGUGACACAUCAGACCUCUUUCUUUUUUGAGAAAUUCCUUGAUUUAAGCGGAAAAACCAGAGUGACAGGCCAAGCACUAACAACAAGAAUCCAACUAGUCAGCAUCAGAACCAAGCCUUGCCGUGGGCCGAGUGGGUACAGAAUUGACCUCGGCAGUCUUUAGCUCGCUACCGCGCAACACGAACAUUGGCUCCUGUUAUGAGCAAGUCCUGUUUUUGGGGCCGCUAGAGUUCCCGUUAUUACAAGUCCUGUCUUUGCCAUUCGAAUUUGCUCUUAGAAAGGAAAGGUCACUAUCAUCUCAUAUAAGAGGACGUAAGGGAAUGAUUUCACAUUAGUAAGGCAUCUUUUCUUCUUUGACAUUGUUUUCUCAGCACGGAAUCCAAUUAAGUAGUGUCAUCCGCUUUGACGACAGCUGUUAUCGCUGAAGCAUUUCCAUUGGUUAUCAGGUGGUAGGCACAGCAACAUUAGUUAUGGAAUGACCUUACCCAUCAAACAUUCUACGAAGUCAAAGGUCAACCUAUAAAUCUACGGUCUCAGACCGGCCGCCCCUAACCUUGGCUGGUUUUGAUGCACAAAAGACAAAACGGGAUUUUAUUUCCACUCAUAAGGAAGGUGAGAUACCUUUUACUGUGUGAAAACUCCCGCGGGCCCUCACCUUUCUGACUGGACGGACUCGGGGAAGGGCAAAUAUCCGACGGAGCGCACAGCCACUCAUUCGUCCUGAUCGAGUACUCGUAGCCGCUAAUCACCACGCGCAAGCCCCAUCUAGAAUUCUCGUUUGCUUUAUCGAACUUUGCUUGAUGUUGGUUGGCCCCCUCUUUGAAACCAUCGACCAGCAAAGCGAUACGGCACUUACAUAAGAGCACGAAUAAGAACGCAGGCAGCGGCAAAAGAGAAGACCGACCCAGAGCGAAACUUGAAUGAAGGUUGCUUGCUGACUCCUAGUAUAGUAUGAAGGAAAUCUCUUGACUUCGCUUAUGCCCUUAUUGCCCUGAUGCAGUAAAGAAAGCAAGUGAGGCGGGCGUCGAUUCCAUUCUGAGUAACGUUACAGGAUUCGAUCCAUCUUCCACUCUUCUCUGGAUUCCGAGUUUCUAGAGAAAAGGUCCCAUCAAUAAAUAUCAUGAUUGGGUCGACUCGACCAUGAAUAGAAAAUAGAAAACGGAAUUAGUUGAUUGGACAGCAACUCGAUUUAGCUUCACGGUCUGAUUUCUGUCCUGUCUUAUUCCGAGUAGCCGCCCUUAAUACAGCUCGCCCUCAACCCCCGACCGCUUCGUUGCUUUUAGGUUCGACUCCUUCAAAGACAAAAGACAACCUGGAUAAGUCUCAUUCGAUGUCGCAACCGAUGCUUAAAACAGAUGAAUCGAUCUUCUCAGUCAAGUCUUCGAGCGAUCAUUCUCUGCUUCAAAUAGGAGGGGACUUCCUCCACCUAAAGGUUAUGAUCCUUACUUAACAAAAAGACCUCCCAUAGGACUGGACUCCUCUCGAGCGUUGUUUCUAUCUACAUUAAUAGGAAUAAAGAAUUGAUUAAUGCCACAGAAGCCUUACUCUUUUGGUGUUCACUUGUAAGCUUUCGUUCCACUCCUUUCCAACUCAGGUUCAACACCCCUUUGAUCCAGGGCUGCAGAUAGGUCUAGAGAACCGAACUGUCUCACGAUUUCCUUACGGUUAGCUACACUUUGCACAAUUCACGUAUCACUUGAGUAGUAAGGCACUAGUUUCUUCAAGGAGGAUCCGUUGAAGAGUGUCUGUUGUCUUGGUAGGGAAGAGUUCUAUCUUUUCCACAAUAUGAUAGAGUCCUUUAGAAACGAAUACGAAUGAGAUCAAAAAAGCUCUGCCGAGGCUCGAAUAGAAGAUGAAACGACCCCACUGGAAUUGACUAGUAAGUUAUAGCUUGAAGUUGAAUUGACUAGUGAAGUUAUAGCUGUAAGGUUCGCAGAAUGACCGAUGGAACCAACCGAAUCCACUCUCGUGACAUGAUCGAAGCCACCACUUUGCCGUCUUUUUAGUCAUUUUCGCAUUUCCUCUAAUAGAAGUUAUGGCGGAAUGCUGCAAAUCCACGGCCGUGCCCCUCCACACGUUCUCAAACCGAUCGCCGGAGGAUUGAUUUCUCUUUCACUGCCUACUUUCGACACUGCCUACUAUCGAUACUGCCUACUAUCAUCAAUUCAUUCUUUCUAGCAUCUCCUGUCUGCUACUGUUACUCAUAUUCAUAGAAUUCCUUCUAGCAUCUCCUAUCUGCUACUGUUACUCAUAUUUAUAGAAUGGAAUAUAGCACAAUAUAGAAGAACAGAAAAGGAAUGGAAUAUAGCACAAUAUAGAAGAACGGAAAAGCCCUUCUGACUCAGCUAGCUAACGUUGCUUGUUUGUUCUCGCUACGAGUAAUAGGAGUGGGGUUUGGUUACUUCAUUCCAUAAUAGGUGGCACAACAUCUCUAUUCCAUUUCUCCACUUAAGUAGACCGCGCUUAAGGCAAGAAGUACGAGUAUCAGGAUACCUAGUCUUGCACCCUUGCUUGUUUUUCAUUUCAUAAGUCACACGUAUUCCAUAAGCUUCUUAGGUUCAAUGCCUAUUCCUCUAUUUCAAUGCCUAUGCCUCUAUGUGUAGUAAAUCUCCCUCGCUUCAACCUAUGCCUUUUCUUUCUUUAAGUCUAGGAUUCGGCUGCGGAUAUGAGUUCAACAUGUAAGCAAUCAGGAGUCAGUUACCUUAUUUCUAUUAGUUUCGGAAUUAAGUGAAGCGUGAGCCUUCUUUUGAAGCAAUGCAUUGGUAGAGUGAAGUUACAUUUAUCUAUAUUGUGCUAGAGUUUUCUUAAUUCUCUAUUCUUAAAGCAAGGGAAAGAAGAAAGUACCCUUGUAUAGAGUUCGGGUCAAUAACUGAGUUUUGAAGCGAUGUUGUAUGUUGUUUACUUGAUUCUCUCUGCUGCUGAGCGCUUCAUUCUUUUCUUUCUAAAAAGUGAUAACGUCUCGGUCUUUUGUUACUGUAGUAUAGAACAGGUGUACUCAAAGGGGCGAACUCCCACCUGCAAGCUAGAGCAGUACAAUCAGUUCCAUUUCCUGUUUCCUAAGUGAGAAUUAGUGAAACUACUAGGGGCAAGGACAGCCAUCAUCAAAGUUCAGUUCCAAUCGUAUAGAUAAGAAGCGGUGAAAAAGGAAGCUGCAAGCACAGUAUAGAAUUCAUUGGGUAACAAGCACCUAUGACUCCGGGGGAUUAACCUCAAACAGAACAAGCAAAAGAAAAGCGCUAACAAGCAAGGACUUAUUGAAUGGAACUAUACGACUUGCUUGCUCUCUUGACUCUAAAGAAGAAAAUGUUCGCCUUGUGCCCACUGCUGGAAUCAAAGAAUUGAAUGCACUUCACCCAUUGUAUAGAAGAAAGGUAAAAACACACACUGUAUUGCUUCCAACAAGCUGCAACGGCAAACCGAAACUCUAGCUAUACCACCUCACAAAUGGGUAUCUGACCAAAUCCAUCUCCAAAAUAGGUACCGGACCCAAUCUAUCUCCGUGGAACCUGUGCUAAGUACGCAGGCUGAGCUAUGCCCGUGACAAAGAAAUAGUAGGUCUAUCUAAUCAAUCAUAUUCUUGAGAGAUAAGAAUUCUCCCGUUAGCCGAAAACAGAACUCCUACUUAAGCUGAAGUAAGGAACUCCCCGUAAGCUGAGGACAGGAACUCCCCGUUAGCACAAUGUCUUACAAAAGAGCUCGUUAACGCUGUAGUCUAGAAUUCAUUUCACUAACAACAACGUCUUGCCCGAACUUUAUAACGCGAUCGGAUUAAUCACUUGUACUCAAUUCUUUUCUUUUCAAUAGGGAUAGGGAUGCCUCAAUUCUGAAAGCUAUAGGGAGUUUGCAUAAACUUCUCUAACUCGGUGCCCAGCUUAGUAACACCCAUUUGUGAAACUCUGCUAACGCUUAUUCGAGUGCUUAGAAGGAGGACGAGGGAAGGAGGACGAGGGCGAAGGUUUAGUCUAAAGUAAGUAGCGCAAGUCCGCCGCUGAGUCAGCAUCUAAAGAGUCCGCAUCAGCAGUGGAAGCAGUGCUAGUGCUGUCUCCAAGAAUUCAGAGCAGGGAACAGGCUACGCGGAAAAGGCUACUACUAGUUAGGCAAAGGCAAAGAGACCAGCAACUACACCUUAUGUGGAACCUAAGAAAUAAUACUUCUGGGCUGGAAAAGACCUAAGACCUGCGUUAGCACUAGGGCGAAAGAGAGUGACUCUACCACUUAGCGAAAUCAAAGAAUUACCACUCCACACUUCUUUGUUCCGUUGCUUUUAGAAUAGAGGAGAGUGUACAACUAAGGGAAUUAUGUAAUCUUACUGCUGACUUACUUAUUUGCUUUAAGAAGACCUCUGCUUUGUCACAAGCAUCUGAACCUCUGCUUUGUCAAGCAUCCUCACUACAGGCAGGGCUAAGCAGUUAUUCUUUCUUUGAUGCUUUCUUUAGUUUGCUAGCUUUACUUAUUCUGUUGCUUGUUGACAUUAAUCACUCAUAUCGUCGCUGGUUGCUCUUCAAAGAGAUGCUGACCCUCUGUUUGAUAGCUCAGCUGUAAGCGUCCUAUACUAUCCCGUAGCUCAGUAAGCAUCCUAUCCUACCUAUUUAUUAGUAGCAAAGAGAAUCCUACCCAUAUAUUCCAAGAGAAUCCUACCUAUAUAUUCGUAUUAUUAUAAUUAGGAGCGGGUCUAAGCGCAAAGAGAUCCUAUUAUUAGUAUGGAAACGGUAUUAUGGGUCGGGUCUAUGUUCUUAAUCAAAUAUGCAGGUCUAUGUUCUUAAUCAAAUAUCAAUUCUAAGAGCCUAACAAGCCACCUAGUUCCAUUUAAAAGACAAGCAUUGAGGUUAGCUUACAAAGUCCUAUACCAUGUGCUCGCAAGUAUGGUUUUCAUCAUCUGUCUUAGUUGGUGCCGGGCAAGAAUCGAGUCAACAGGCAAGGAAGCCAGGUGUACUGAUUACAACAAUCUUUCUUUGAGUGCCAAGGAAAGGAGACUCUAGAAUAUGAAUCAGCGGUAUAAAAUACGGGAUCAUCCGCAGCAAUUGAAAGUAGAGUACAAAGGUGCCAGUCUUUCUGAAAGUCGAAAUAGGGCGCUUAUGUCUAAGUAAUCAAGGAUGGUUCUUGGCGCAAGUGCAAGUCCAGGAAUUUCCAUUUAUUAAUUCGGUUCCACAAGUCCUGUUCUCUAAUGUUCUGGUUCUCUAAUCUUCUGCGCUAAAAGAUUUUCGUGACUCGGGCCAACAAGAACUAGUGCAUCAGUGGCGUCGGUAAGGUGUUUUAGGAGUUUCAAUUGACAUUAAAUAAAGUCUUCCUUAACUGACUGCAAACUCGGCCCAAGAUUUCAUUACUGUUUUUAUUGGCGCAAGAAGGUAGUCUUGUCUUGGUAUAGAAAGUCGGUAAUAAGAGUAAUAGAUAUAUUACCAAGUUAAGCUUUCGGUCCUGUUGACAGUGUUGCGGCGGUACAGAUGAAGGCGCUAGUAAGUUCAGUUCACCCUUUGCCUCAAUUCGUUAUGAAAGAAAAGAGUAAUAUCCGGAGUUUAGUUACUGGAUUUAUAGGUUUAGUACUCAAUUAUCUUCUUGUUGAGUUAGCAGUUCGGUUAGAAAGAAGCAGUCCUUUAGGUUACUCAAUCAUAUGUCCUUUAGGUUACUCAAUCAUAUUAGGUCAUGCUCUUAUCUUAUCUGUAUAGUAGCUUGUUCCGGGCGCAUUAGCUUAUUCGACUUAUAAGGGGCUAGUUAGCUUACUUCUUGGGUGCUAACGGAGCUUCAAAAGUCAUAAGUUAGUUUGUGCCUGCAGUAAUCAGUGUUUUGAGGAUCUCCUAAUAUGUAAGCUGUUCGGUUACUUGAUUGUAAGCAGUGAAGGUUCCACAUAGUAUAGGGUUAACUCCAUUCUAUUCUUUAGCUCGACUCGCGGUUGGAACUUAUUGGAGUGGAAAGCAAGGACGCAAGCAAAGGCAAUAAUUCUGUACUUUGGGGAUUGAGUAUCGGGAUAGGGUUCGUCAGCGAGGGGAAGAGUCUGUUGUGUUAGAUUACUUUCCCAUAGUGACAUAGUGAGCUGCGUUAGAUUACCGAGUUCUAUAAUAGGAGAGCACCAAAUUCCAUUACUAAGUGUUGUGAGGUUACCGAACAAGCAACGAACCAAACUACUACAUAGAAAGUAGCGCUUACGCGAGUUACAAUGACUAACGCUAUACAUUAUACAAAGCUUGUUCCUCGAGAGUACGCAGUGUUAGAGCAACGAGUAAUUGAGUCUUAAGUUGGUCAAGAGUGGAGUAUUUUCAUUAUAUAAUAUGUGUGGGUCAGUACAAAUCUUUUUGAGCAGAGGAGUUAACCGUUACGCAUUAGUGUUCAGCUGAAAUGUGAGAUUAUUAAAGCCGUUCAGAUCCAAUUCUAAAAGCUUAGGCGCGUUCAGAUCCCAUCCCAUUCUUAAAGCUUAGGCGCGUCAAUAAUGUAUGACUUUAGCCUAGCCUUCAAUGUGCCUAGCAGAGUUCCUCAAGUCAACAGUGCAUUUUAGAGAGUGAGCUGACUAUGCUUAUAGAAGAUGUUUGACUUAUAUGAAACGCUAUAGGGUUGGUAGCUUGUUUGUGCGUUAAGGGUUAGCAAAGCAAGAAUGGAGUACUUGAGUAUUUGGUAAAGCCCACUCAGCUCGAUGUCAAGUGCAUUUGGUAAAGCCCGCUCCGCUCGAUGUCAAGUUCCUGUUUUGUAUAGAGAAGGCGCCGAUAUUCAAUGGCCUUAUAGUCAUUCGCGUUAGUAAGCUCUGCACUUUCGCCCUUGCUUGUUCCCUAUAGCGCUAGUUAGUAUGCCGGAGGAAGUGGAAACACUAGAAUGGUCAUUAUGUCCUGUUAGUAUAGGAUCUAUCCGCCUCAAUUCUUAAAGCCAGGUGCGCCUCUAUGUUUUUUACAAAAUGAAGGAAUAUGCGCUAUCCGGAUAGAUUCAAUUCAACGUUGCUCAAUCAGUAAUAAACCAACUAUUCUAUUUCUUUGUAGUCUAUCCUUGGGUGCGCCGAGAUUAUAUUCUUUGACUUUCCGGGCGAAACUGUGAUAGUGAUGGUAGCGAAUUACUAGAAGGCCGGGCGAAACUGUGAUAGUGACAUUUAGCUGACUUUUGUUUGAGAGUGCUAAGGAAAAACGAGUGGUAGAGAAUAAGCUUUAGGCAAGAAAUUACGUACUAGCGCUUGGCAACUCCCGUAAGCGCUACUUUCUUAGUUGUUUGUUCCCUUAACUAGAACAUUAGGACAAAGAGGCAGAGUGGAGAGAAGAGAGAUUGACUUUGCUCACCAUAGGAAGAAUGGGAUGGGCAGUGAACGGAAUGUGUCUCAUAUUUCCACUUAUAGUAGAAUGAAUGAAUGUGUCUCAUAUUUCCACUUAUAGUAGAAUGAAACAGCAAACCGAGGUACAAAAAAGCUAGCCUAACCUUGCUCUUGCUUUCUUCGCAUCCAAGCACUAUUAGAUAGAAAUGAACCCAUAUGGACUAGAGAAAUAGGGGAGCCCCGGCUGUGUAUCGCACUUAUUCUGUAUAAAGAUGAGUCUCUAUGGUAAAGAUGCCUCUAAUCUGUGUCCACUCUCCAAAUUCUAUCGAUAAAGGGCCUAUGUUAUCUAUCUUAUCUAUUUUAUGCCUAAUCCAGCCUAUGUUGAACCAAGCUAUAGAUUGUUGAAGGCCUAUGUUGAACCAAGCUAUAGAUUGUUGAAGCAAGAAGAGAAUCAUAGAUUGAUGUCACAUAGUUCCAUGUUGUAUAUUAGAUUGCUGCAUUGAUUUCCUCUUCUAUAGGGGUCUGUCUGUCUCAUCGGACACCUAUUGCUUGGCCGCUUGCUUUACCAAUGGCUUUCAAGGACGUUAUUGAGAGCGGAGUCCAAACCAAAACUCAUUCAUUCAUUUAGAAAAUACUAGAAUAGCGCUGAAUUAGUUGGUGGCAACCAGGCUGAAACAGCCGAGACCCGACCCAACACCAUAUAUCCUCUUCAUCACAGGAAGAAGGUAAAUCCAUGUAGUUUCUUGAGUUAUAUCGAUGGUAAUCAACGAGAAUAGAAAAAGAAGGCUUGCACAGCUAGGCAGACGGGUCUCUCGCGCCGCCACUACUAUACAUCGAAGGAACAGAACAAAUCAGAAUUUCGAAGACAAGACAGAAGAAAUCAGAAUUCGCAUGGUGGUUUGGAAAGAGAAGAUUGAAGCCCAGCAACAUACUUGGAGUUUUCAUAUACAUUGCCUAGUCAUAAAUGUCGAUACAUCUGACUAAACUAUUCUUGGUCGUCCGCACGAUCAUCACAUGGUGCCAUCCACUUAUCACCAAUGCAUAUCAUACCCCCGCGCCCUAGGAUUGGUAGGCAUAGUGGCGGACAAUGAUCCGGGCUUAAGCUUAUAAUUAAGAAGCCCUAUAAGCAAGCAAGAAGCCCUAUAAGCAAGCGAAGAAAGAAAGAAAAAGGAGAAAGAAGCGGUAAAAGGUUCCAAUUAGGAAAGGAAGCGAGACUCCACUAGAAAUUAGACCUUCCGUCCAUGUCCCUAGGUCCAAAAGAGAAAAGAAAGGGGCUAGAACACUGAAAAUCAACCCGAGGCGAGAGAAACUAUCCUAUUAAGGAAUUGAUCUGUUGUGUGGUGUAGACCGAAAAUCCAUUGAAGGGUUUCUGCCAUCUGUAACUACGAGCGCACGCACCCCUGAUCAGUGCAUUGGGAUGUGUCUAUUUCUAUCUUUUGACUCGAAAUAGGAGAGAGCUGGUUGGAGAAAAAGGAUAUUAGAGUUGAUAGGGUAUCUCUUGACUCGAAAUAGGAGAGCUGGUGAGUUUGAAAAAGGAUCUUAGAGUUGAUAGGGGUAGCCUUCGAUUCUUUCUUUCCAUCAGAGUUAUUUCACAAAGACUUGGUCAUGGUAAGGGAGAAGGGGGGGGAACAAGCACACAUGAAGAGCGCAGUAUAACGAAGAGUUUGAUGCUGCCGUUCAGGAAGGUACCAAAAUGAAUCUAGUGAAUCUAUCUCAAGGUGUGGGUGCGAUGAUUUACUUUGACUUCACGGGCGAGGUAAGGGAGAAAAAGAAUGGAAUAAGCAUCUGACUCUUUCAUGCAUACAAAACUUGGGGCGAUAUUGCUCCGUUGGUAUAACUCUGCUCUUGAUAUUGGGUCGUUCCGAUUACGGGUUAGAUGUCCAAUUGUCAAGGCGGUAAGAAAUCAUCUAGUAAGAAAGAAGAAAGGCGGUAAGAAAUCAUCCAGUAAGAAAGAAUUCAGAAUAUAAAGAAAUAAGAAAUACAUAGAAUAGUAUAAUAUAAAUAAAGAAUAGUAUAAUAUAAAUAAAGAAUAGUAUAAUAGAAUUCAAUAAGAAAUAAUAGAAUAGUCAAUAAGAAAUAAUAGAAUAGUAUAAUCAAUAUUGUAAGAAAUAAUAGAAUUGUAUAUUGUACCUGAACCCGUGGCUCACUUUUCUAAGUAAUGGGGAAUAGGACCGCGCUGAAUGACUCCACUGAUACAAAAAGAGAGGCUGAACGUAGAGGAGGUGCGUUGGUCUAAUCUAGUAUGGAUCUACCAUGGACGAUAGUUUGAGUAAGCGGCUCUCCUGGGGUUAACUCAUCUGGUAUCCCAGGGGCAGAGAAGAGGAUCAAGUUAGCCCUUGCGAAUAGCGCACACUAUAGCACCUUAACCCUUUGAGCGAAAUGUGGCAAUUAACCCUUUGAGCGAAAUGUGGCAAAAGGAAGGAAAGGAUAGGAUAAUUCAGGGACCUUCGUCUCCACCCACCCCGUAGGAACUACGAGAUCACACCAACCAAGGACGUCUGCGGCUUCCAGGGGUCACAGACAGACCAUAGACCUAGUUCAAUAAGUAUAACGCAUUAGCAGUCUGCGGGCAGUAAGGGUAGCCGAAGGGCAAUCACUAGUUCUUAACGCCCAUUCUUCAGACCAAAGAAAGAGUCGGGCGGGAGGCCAGUUCUACUUUAGCUGUAUUCUACGGAAGCACAAGAAUCUUUAGAAUAGGAUUCCCACUCUGAGCACCACCCCUUUUCUAUUUACUCUGAGCACCACCCCUUUUUCUAUUUGGAGAAAAGAAAGAAGAGUUGUUCUCGAAAGAGCACACAGAUUCAAGUUGUAAGCUGUGUUCGGGGGAAGUUCUUGUUUGUCUAUCGUUGGCCUAUAUAGUAUAAAGAAUACGUCGGGGAGGCCUGAGAGGCGGUAGUUUACCCUGGGGCAGAUGUCAACGGUUCGAGUCCACUUAUCUACAGCCCGUGAACUUCACUGAUACUAUAGAUAAGAUAGCUACCCUCCAAUUCGCCAGCCUAUCUUGGGGUUAGUAAAGGCUAUUCGAUUUCGCAUUCAUAGAAGUUGGUUGAGAAGAUCCUUUUCCAUUUAGAAUAGAAGCACUGCACCGUGCACAGUAUUAACAACCUUAAUGGUGAGGUUCAGAAGA
This 27409-nucleotide long non-coding RNA is filed under the name Musa acuminata (dwarf banana). Its description in RNAcentral is "long non-coding RNA (MACU_LNC007509)". Lineage: Eukaryota; Viridiplantae; Streptophyta; Magnoliopsida; Zingiberales; Musaceae. The record is from RNAcentral.